Molecule: ribosomal RNA, 137 nt
Filed under: uncultured eukaryote
Lineage: Eukaryota
Description: partial 18S ribosomal RNA
Rfam family: Eukaryotic small subunit ribosomal RNA
Source: RNAcentral
UGGUGGAGUGAUUUGUCUGCUUAAUUGCGAUAACGAACGAGACCUUAACCUGCUAAAUAGCCAGGCAAGCUUCUGCUUGUCGCCGGCUUCUUAGAGGGACUAUCGGCUCAAGCCGAUGGAAGUUUGAGGCAAUAACA